RNAcentral lists this ribosomal RNA (1313 nucleotides) under metagenome. Its description in RNAcentral is "bacterial LSU rRNA". It matches the Rfam family "Bacterial large subunit ribosomal RNA", at positions 1563 to 2925 of the family's 2925-position model. The record is from RNAcentral.
GGAUUGGGAGGGUUCUACGGAACCCGUUUGGUGAAUCUAGUGCCGAGAAAAGCCUUCUAUGUGUUGAAUUUCUAGUACCCGUACCCCAAACCGACACAGGUGGGUGGGUAGAGCAUACCUAGGGGCGCGUGAUAACUCUCUCUAAGGAACUCGGCAAAAUGGCCCUGUAACUUCGGGAUAAGGGGUGCCUGCGUGAGCAGGCCGCAGUGAAAUGGCUCUGGCGACUGUUUACCAAAAACACAGGUCUCUGCUAAGUCGUAAGACGAUGUAUAGGGGCUGACUCCUGCCCAGUGCCGGAAGGUUAAGGAAGUUGGUUAGCGCAAGCGAAGCUGGCGACCGAAGCCCCGGUGAACGGCGGCCGUAACUAUAACGGUCCUAAGGUAGCGAAAUUCCUUGUCGGGUAAGUUCCGACCCGCACGAAAGGAGUAACGAUCAGAGCGCUGUCUCGGAGAGAGACACGGCGAAAUAGGAUUGUCCGUGAAGAUACGGACUACCUGCACCCGGACAGAAAGACCCUAUGAAGCUUUACUGUAACUUGGAAUUGUGUUCGGACUUUGUCUGCGCAGAAUAGGUGGGAGGCUAUGAAACGUUCCUCGCGGGGAACUGGAGCCAUCGUUGAGAUACCACUCUGGCAGAGUCUGGAUUCUAACCUACGGGGACAGUUCCAGGUGGGCAGUUUGACUGGGGCGGUCGCCUCCUAAAAUGUAACGGAGGCGCGCAAAGGUUCCCUCAGGCUGGUUGGAAAUCAGCCAUAGAGUGUAAAAGCAUAAGGGAGCUUGACUGUGAGACCUACAAGUCGAGCAGGGACGAAAGUCGGCUUUAGUGAUCCGACGGCACUGAGUGGAAGGGCCGUCGCUCAACGGAUAAAAGUUACUCUAAGGAUAACAGGCUGAUCUCCCCCAAGAGUUCACAUCGACGGGGAGGUUUGGCACCUCGAUGUCGGCUCGUCGCAACCUGGGGCGGUAGUACGUCCCAAGGGUUGGGCUGUUCGCCCAUUAAAGCGGCACGUGAGCUGGGUUCAGAACGUCGUGAGACAGUUCGGUCCAUAUCCGGUGUAGGCGUAGGAGCAUUGAAAGGAUCUCUCCUUAGUACGAGAGGACCGGGAGGGACGUACCUCUGGUGUACCUGUUAUCGUGCCAACGGUAAACGCAGGGUAGCCAUGUACGGAGUGGAUAACCGCUGAAAGCAUCUAAGUGGGAAGCCCACCUUAAGAUGAGUGCUCCCUUGAGGCCACGGGAAGACGACCCGUUUGAUAGGCGCUAGGUGGAAGUGCAGUAAUGCAUGCAGCCGAGGCGUACUAAUAGGCCGAUGGC